RNAcentral lists this ribosomal RNA (412 nucleotides) under uncultured Gammaproteobacteria bacterium. Its description in RNAcentral is "bacterial SSU rRNA". It matches the Rfam family "Bacterial small subunit ribosomal RNA", at positions 9 to 423 of the family's 1533-position model. Lineage: Bacteria; Pseudomonadati; Pseudomonadota; Gammaproteobacteria. The record is from RNAcentral.
GAGUUUGAUCCUGGCUCAGAGUGAACGCUGGCGGCAGGCCUAACACAUGCAAGUCGAGCGGCAGCGCGGGGGCAACCCUGGCGGCGAGCGGCGGACGGGUGAGGAAUGCGUCGGAAUCUGCCUCUUUGUGGGGGAUAACGUAGGGAAACUUACGCUAAUACCGCAUACGACCUACGGGUGAAAGUGGGGGACCUUCGGGCCUCACGCAGAGAGAUGAGCCGACGCCGGAUUAGCUAGUUGGCGGGGUAAAGGCCCACCAAGGCGACGAUCCGUAGCUGGUCUGAGAGGAUGAUCAGCCACACUGGAACUGAGACACGGUCCAGACUCCUACGGGAGGCAGCAGUGGGGAAUAUUGGACAAUGGGCGCAAGCCUGAUCCAGCCAUGCCGCGUGUGUGAAGAAGGCCUUCGGUU